This 314-nucleotide unclassified non-coding RNA is filed under the name Spizellomyces sp. RNAcentral's name for it is "partial internal transcribed spacer region". The stretch from base 1 to 46 matches the Rfam family "Eukaryotic small subunit ribosomal RNA", at positions 1786 to 1831 of the family's 1831-position model. The record is from RNAcentral. Lineage: Eukaryota; Fungi; Chytridiomycota; Chytridiomycetes; Spizellomycetales; Spizellomycetaceae.
AAGUCGUAACAAGGUAACCGUAGGUGAACCUGCGGUUGGAUCAUUAAUAAAUGAAAAAGGACUUCGGUCUGGUUUCGUUCGUUCGUUCGUUCGUUCAAGUGAACAUUUUGUGAACUGUAAGGUCUCUGGCGGCUGGGUGUAACUAACCUUAGGGCCAUGUUGCAUCUGUCAACUUGAGAAAUCAGGUCGUGGACAAACCGCCAACCAUCUGUUUUGACUUGAUGUAUUCUAUUUUUAUCUAACAUUUACUUGUAUAAAAUAUACAAACAACUUUUGGCAACGGAUCUCUUGGCUCUCGCAUCGAUGAAGAACGC